GUGUUACUAUUAAAACUGGUUGUAAAUUUAAAAUACAAUUAAAAAAAAUCCAAAAUAAAAUGAUUUUUUGAAAACUUCUGUUCUAUUUGAGCACGUUUCCCAGAAUGAGGUCGUGUAUAGGUUAAGUCCUAGAAGACAAUUAACAAAAACGUCCAUGUUCCUGCUUGAAAUAAAAUGAAUCUUUCUUCCCUUGCACAUCUCUUCUGAUGUCUCAGUCCAAAUUCAGACAUUAAAAACCACCCUAGAAAGCUAAGGCAGACGACCUCACCCUGCUGGCGACGGCUAUAUACAUUCACCUUUAUUUCAGGUGAAUCUGAACUGAAAUGGAUCCAGGCUUGUGGAGUUCCUUAGAAGUUCAGGAAGGGAUGCAGCGGGAGGGGAGCACUUCAAGGACGCACGAGUCCAUCCCUAACACCUGCCCUACCAGGAUUUUGCUCUCUGUAAACCUCAGAGCACAUCAUCCAUGACUCUUUUAAAGUUAAGUGACAGACUGCAACCUGAAGCGCAAGCAAUGUGUUUGAGAUAUUUUCAGGCAUUGUUCCAGCCUGAAAAUGUACUCACAGAACCCAAAUGCAGGUAUACGUAUUUUGAAGCCCUAACUAAUACAUUUCAUUUCCCACGUCAUCAUUUUCAUAAAUGUGUUCUAUUGUAUGUACCCAAACCAUUAGAUUUGCCCCUCAAAGCCUUUAAAUCUACUCAGCCCCAGCCUCUGAGCUGGACCCUUUUUUUUUUGUUUACUGCCAAGAAUCUGAAGUUUCUUUUCCAGCUGCCAGUGACUACUUCGUUCCAGUACACAAAGAUGAAAAUCCUUGCUGUUCUCCAUUCAGAUUUGUCCUUGAAAAUUCUUUGUAGACUUCAGAGGAAAACUUUCCAUUCAGUUUGUAUCUGGAGUUUCCUGGACUGUACAGGCCCAGGCUGCGGUCGGUUCCACAGCUCUAACCGGCUCUGAGCUGGAGAGCAACAAAGCCUCACUGAGGAGCAUUUAGACAAACAGGCACACAGCUCUGCAGGAAAGACAAACAUUGGGUAAACCAUAGGUAAGAACACAUUGGCAGAAUAAAGCUUGCCACUGGAAAGAGCAGAAAAGAGAUUCGCAUCAGCAAUAGGGUUCAACUCCCACCAAGUAUCCUUGGUUUGGAUACUUGCUAAAGCUUUCAGAUAGUGUGCAAACUUCAGCAAGAACUAUCAUAAAAUAAGGCUGAUGUUUAAACAGCAAAGCAAGAGCUGAG
This is a long non-coding RNA of Gallus gallus (chicken), 1229 nucleotides long. NCBI's taxonomy places the organism in Eukaryota, Metazoa, Chordata, Aves, Galliformes, Phasianidae. The record is from Ensembl.